GACGAACGCUGGCGGCGUGCUCAACACAUGCAAGUCGAACGAAGAGCGAUGGAAGCUUGCUUCUAUCCAUCUUAGUGGCGAACGGGUGAGUAACGCGUAAUCAACCUGCCCUUCAGAGGGGGACAACAGUUGGAAACGACUGCUAAUACCGCAUACGAUCUAAUCUCGGCAUCGAGGAUCGAUGAAAGGUGGCCCCUACAUGUAAGCUAUCACUGAAGGCGGGGAGUGCGUCUGAUUAGCUAGGUGGUGGGGUACCGGCCCACCCAGGCCAUGAUCCGUAGCCGGUCUGAGAUGAUGGACGGCCGCAUUGGGACUGAGACACGGCCCAGGCUCCUACGGGAGGCAGCAGUGGGGGAGCUUCCGCGAUGGACGAAAGUCUGACGGAGCAACGCCGCGUGAGUGAUGACGGCCUUCGGGUUGUAAAGCUCUGUUAAUCGGGACGAAAGGCCUUCUUGCGAAUAGUGAGAAGGAUUGACGGUACCGGAAUAGAAAGCCACGGCUAACUACGUG
This 510-nucleotide ribosomal RNA is filed under the name uncultured bacterium. RNAcentral's name for it is "partial 16S ribosomal RNA". It matches the Rfam family "Bacterial small subunit ribosomal RNA", at positions 28 to 507 of the family's 1533-position model. The record is from RNAcentral.